AGAUUUGACCGUAGGUCUUUUAUUUUGUUGUGAAAUAAUAAAGUGCAGGUUUUUUUGUAUUUUAUGUAUAUUUAAUUACAAAUUGGUCACUUAUUUCAUAACAGCGUACUGUACUAUGUUUUUGCCUUGUGAAGGACUUUGAACUGUCUUGUUGCUGAAAUGAUCUUUACUAAUAAACUUCAUUUAUUUGUGUAGAUAAAAAGCUAAACUUAAAUCAGUGGAAAUAUGCAAAGAGGUCAAACAAGAUUAAGAUUAAAACUCGCUGUAAAAAAAACAACAAAAAAACACCUGUUUUCAGUUAAUGCUAACGUCAGGUGACUGAGGAGAAACCAGGCCAGAACAUUUCCUCCUUUCGGGAUCCGUUCCAACUGCAUCAGAUGGACCUGCAUUGAUUAGAUCUUUGAAUGAAAAACAGUUCUCUGUUUUUUUUAAAAAUUAAAUCAGGCAGUAUUGUUUAGCCAAGCUCAAUGGAAUAAAUCCUUAACCACUGCACAUUUUUAUUACAGGUGGUGCUGGCACAGGAAAAAAUCAUUUAAUCAGGGCAAUUGAAUAUGAAUCAAAACGUUUAUUGUCGACUGUGAGUCGAUAGUUGCUUAUCAGAAGUGUUGUUUUUAGGUAAAGGAGCACAUGUUGUGUAAAAAUGUGAUGGCUGAUAUCUGUUAUGUUCUGGGGUUCUCUGGUUCUCUUGGUGGGGUUUUUCUGUGCGCCUUUUCCACCUCUUACCACCAGAUGGCGACAGGUUCCGGUUGGAGUGCGGUGGUGUCAUCAUCAUCCUCAGCUGUCAUCGAUUACCCUCAUCAGCGGACCAUACUUUAGGAGUUGACCGCCAGUCCAGCGUCGCCUGAGUGUUUGCCAGUCAAGGUACCUCUGAGCCCCCUUGAGCCCUGUCUCUGUGUUCCUCGUUACCUUGAGCCUUCCAGUGAUCCUCUUUGUGUUUCUCUGUUGCCUUCAGGUGAUCCCUUUGACACUCUGGACCCGUUGACCAGAUCCUGGCAGUUUUCCUGGUUUCAGAACCUCCCUCGUGACGCCGUGGAAAAUACCCACUGGUUGCCCGAGUUCCCAGACUCACCUCUCCGUUGUUUUGCAAGUAUCUCCUGGAUCCCACGGCUGGCGGUCGAACCACUCCUCUGUGUCUCCAUUGCACCCGAGCCUACCUGUCCGUUCUCCGCCGCACUCCUCCAUUGUUCCUGGACCCACUAAGAGACCGAGACCCUGGACAUAAUCAGUUAUCCUCCAAGAUUCAGAUCCAACCACCACAAUGAACCACUGCAGCCUGUUACCGUUGAUUCCCUGGACCAGACCACCUCGACACUUUCUGAUAAUUGUGUAAUCUUAAUAAAUCACUUAAACUGA
Molecule: long non-coding RNA, 1353 nt
Organism: Xiphophorus couchianus (Monterrey platyfish)
Lineage: Eukaryota; Metazoa; Chordata; Actinopteri; Cyprinodontiformes; Poeciliidae
Exons: 2
Source: RefSeq, a predicted model, not a curated record